Molecule: ribosomal RNA, 212 nt
Filed under: uncultured archaeon
Lineage: Archaea
Description: partial 16S ribosomal RNA
Rfam family: Archaeal small subunit ribosomal RNA
Source: RNAcentral
CCGGAGAUGGAUUCUGAGACAUGAAUCCAGGCCCUACGGGGCGCAGCAGGCGCGAAAACUUUACAAUGCGGGAAACCGUGAUAAGGGAACACCGAGUGCCAGCAUCAUAUGCUGGCUGUCCAGAUGUGUAAACUACAUCUGUUAGCAAGGACCGGGCAAGACCGGUGCCAGCCGCCGCGGUAACACCGGCGGCCCGAGUGGUGACCGUUAUU